GAUGAACGCUGGCGGCGUGCCUAAUACAUGCAAGUCGAGCGAACAGACGAGGAGCUUGCUCCUCUGACGUUAGCGGCGGACGGGUGAGUAACACGUGGAUAACCUACCUAUAAGACUGGGACAACUUCGGGAAACCGGAGCUAAUACCGGAUAAUAUAUUGAACCGCAUGGUUCAAUAGUGAAAGACGGUUUUGCUGUCACUUAUAGAUGGAUCCGCGCCGCAUUAGCUAGUUGGUAAGGUAACGGCUUACCAAGGCGACGAUGCGUAGCCGACCUGAGAGGGUGAUCGGCCACACUGGAACUGAGACACGGUCCAGACUCCUACGGGAGGCAGCAGUAGGGAAUCUUCCGCAAUGGGCGAAAGCUUGACGGAGCAACGCCGCGUGAGUGAUGAAGGUCUUCGGAUCGUAAAACUCUGUUAUUAGGGAAGAACAAAUGUGUAAGUAACUAUGCACGUCUUGACGGUACCUAAUCAGAAAGCCACGGCUAACUACGUG
RNAcentral lists this ribosomal RNA (497 nucleotides) under uncultured bacterium. RNAcentral describes it as "partial 16S ribosomal RNA". It matches the Rfam family "Bacterial small subunit ribosomal RNA", at positions 28 to 507 of the family's 1533-position model. The record is from RNAcentral.